Mesocricetus auratus (golden hamster) is the source of this 4137-nucleotide long non-coding RNA. RefSeq lists it as uncharacterized. The record is from RefSeq and is a predicted model, not a curated record. The transcript has 3 exons. NCBI's taxonomy places the organism in Eukaryota, Metazoa, Chordata, Mammalia, Rodentia, Cricetidae.
GGACGGCAGAAACAGCUCUCCAGCCUUCCUUUCUCAAGAGUGGUCCAGCGGUCCCUUUGGGGCCAAGCCUCCUCUGGACAACCUUGGCCAACCCUAGGGCCAGGGAGCCAAGCUCUGAGAGCCUCCCCCUCCUCCAGGAGCUGCUGCUGCUGGGCAGCGAGCCUGGAUCCUCCAUGCCGCCAAGACUGGCUCUCUCUACAGCCCUAACUUGCUGCGCAUGGACAGGACAGGGCGUCCUCCAGGAACCCCCCAGACCCUGGCCCUGGACAGUGUCACUUAGCUCUCUUUUAUGAUGACACUAAGAAGCAGGCCCCAAGUCGUCUAUCCCGGCCCCCGAGUCUCUCUUCGGUGGGCAGCGACACAGCUACUCUGGAAAAGUUCUCAGCCGGCAGCAUAGCCCCCGGAGGUGAGCAGUUCAGGGACCAAGUGAUGCCUGAUAAAGGUGACGGCCUUCAAAGGCCGCCUUAGCAAGACCCAAGCAUUCCUGCAUACUCUUGCCUACUUUCCAGACGACCUUGACCUCUAAGAGGCCAGGGUCCUAGUCACUAGGUGCACUCUCAAGCUUACGGAGACCUACGUGUCUCUUGCGCCCCACCCCGGGUGGAAACCGCCGAGGCAAAUGGCCAAGAAAGGGAGCAAGCUGGGGCACGUAAGGGGCGGAGGCCAAGGUCGCCCCCGCUUGGACUGAAUCCGGAAUCCCAGCGGAUCCCAGACCUGGUCCAGCGGUCUGGGCAGAGGUCGGAGGGAGGACUGGGGUCACUCACUACUCCGGGUCACACUACUGGGCCCACGUGCAGGCUGGGAGGCAGCUACAGGAUGAGGCGGAGAUGCCGGGACCCAGGGGAUCUUAUCGGACCAGUCCCGGGCUUCUGACUUCGUUGGAUCCCGCCCCGCAUAGUUGGCUGAAGGGCGCUGAGCCGAACAUGCGGCUAGCUAGGAGGGCGCUCCCAGCCCGGGCAGACCAGGACUUUGCGUACCUCGCCCGGUGCCUACUGGCCGCUUCCGAACGCAACCGACGCCAGCGCCUCUCCAGGAUCCCAGGUGGCCUCCCUAGCCCGGAGCAGCCCCACCUUGGAGCCUCGGGACGCACCCGCGUGGGCAGCGUGGCGAGCUUAGCGACCCGCCGCGCAUCCCAAGACGAGCUGCGCGCCCGGAUCCUUGUACACUACGGGGUGUGGCUCUGCGCCAGGGGCCUGGAGGCGAAGGCGGACGGCGGGUGAAUACUCACCGAAGUACACGGUCUUGUCACACUUGGGACACUUGGAGGCCAUGGUCGCACGGUGCGCUCGGUCCGUCCGCGCCCUCCACCCGCGCUGGUCUCUCCUCCGCCGCCCGCGCCUGCCCCGCCCGCCCCGGACGCCGAUUGGCUCCGAGGCCUGGGCGGGGCCUCUGGAGCCCGCCCCCCGGGACGCCAGCAGCUGGGCGCAGGGCAGGCGGGGCGCACCUGCCGCGGUCGGAGGGGCCGGGCCUGGCGCCCCCUACCCCACAGUGAGGCGGCGUCUACAGGGAUCGCCCGAGGUUUCCGUGGCAACAUCGUGGCCUCUAGCUGGAGAGCAGACUUGGGGGUCCCCAGCUCCAGGCCCGGACGCCCCGGCUGGCUCAUGGCGGGAGGGGGCGCGAGAAACCCGGGGAGGGGACGCCCCUCCACUCCCGCCUCCCGGCGCCGCCUCCCUUUGUUGCCUCGUUUCCAUAGCAACGGUCUCGCAGCACAGAAGCUCGAAGCAUCGGAUUCCGGGCGGGGCGCCUCGGUCCUGUCUGUGGUGCUGAAGGAGGGGCGGGCGAGGCUCGCCUAGUAAGCGCCGCCACUUCCAAAAACAGCCCGAGAAACCACUGGGAGGAGUGGGGGCGGGGUGGAGCCAGCCGGCGCUGGCCCUGAGGGGGCCCGCAGGUGCACUUGCGCCCUGCGGGUCCUCCCCAGUUAUAUCCUUGGAGAAGUGGGGUACCUACGAGUUUCCUCGACAUGAAGUGUUUGUGAGCUAACUCCCCAUCUGUGAGCACCCCAAGCUCAUGACUGCUGCCGGGCUUUCUGGGCCCCGGGUCUGGCAGAAUUCUGGAUCCAAGGCAUGUUGCAGGGUGGCAGAGCCAGAAAUCCUGCUAGCCAGAUGCUGUCUCCCACCUGGCUAGUCCUCACGAACAGUUCCCCUCCCAUUCCUCCUUCCCAUUAGGGGCAUGUUUAGCUAUUCCUACUUCCCGAUUCCAUCCUGGAACUCCUGGUGAUAUGGACCGAAGAGGAAGCAGGGACCCACAGGCCUCUCUCUGAGCCUUGGGUCUGGAAAACAAACACCCUAUAUAUCCCUAACCCUGACGACCUGACGCGGUAUGGGCAACUGACUCCAGAAACGCCAUCUGCCCAGCCUUCACCGCUGUGCUGAACACCCGUAUUUCAUUUCUCGGCUCAGCCCAAGGACCGGGAGCCAAGUGACCCCAGGUGCCAGGCUUGUUGGUGAUCCCUGGCCUACUACUAUGGCUCCAUGUGGUGGCCCCUCCUCCUUCCUUGCAACAUAUCCCGCAGCUACUGCCAUUUCCAUGGUGACAACAGCCCAGAAACAUGUGCCGCCCCCCUCCAAGCCUGACUGACCAGCCUGACCAGCUCCCCCUGGGCACCUCUGAGCACAUGCCAGCCAAGAGGCAGCCAGAGGAAGACACACAGCUCAAGACACACUUGCUUUGUUUCUAAAUGGACACGGGAGCUGAGGUCCUGAGGGAAGUUGAGGAUACCAGGACGGCCCUGGAAACUGUCUUCUGAGAGGGGCCCUCUCGCCCUUGGGUUUGUCUUGGCCAGGACCUAGGAAUGCCUCGUUCCCCAGCCUGACUCCCGAAAAGGAGAGCCUUUGGGGAAAGACGCUGUGCCUGAGGAUAAGGGAACUAUGUCCGCAGGGGCUUCAUCUGCACCACCCCCCUGCAGACUCCCACAUGGAAGGACUCGGGAGGUCCUAGAGCAGCAGGACAAAGGCAGAGACCAGGAUCAACCGGGAGAAGCAGCUCAAUGACCCUACAAAGAUGGGGUAUGUGUCACAGCCCUGUCCUGGACACCUGGCCUGCCACCCUGAUAAGCCCCAUCACAGGCGCAGGAAAGCCAAGAUACCCCCUUAUCUGUACCCAGAGUGGGAACCUAAGUGGCUUCUAUUUUAAUCCCCCAUCUGAGAGUCCCACAGAUCGCAGGCGCCUGAGUAGGGCGGAAGUGGGAGGCAGAGGCCAAAAGUGCCCAGUGUCCAGGGAGGGGCUGGCUGACCCUCUCUCCGCCAGCUGAGAGGCCUGAGGGAUGAGGGCUUGUAGAGCCAGCCCUCCUCCUCCUGGUAGCUGGCCAGACCCGCACCUGUCCCAGGGCCAGCAAGGAGAGGCACAGGCAGAGAUAAGAUUUCUGAGCAGAAAUACGAGCAAAUGCUUGAGAAAAGUAACCUGCUGGGUAGUGCGGCUUAGUUCAGGAGGCCUGACAGCUGGACAAGGGAUCAGUCCAGGGAAGGGGGUGGCCCAGGACCUGAAGUCUUCGUGCCAAGUCAACCUAGGUAAACCUAAAGGUUGCGGGGCCUCAGGUAGGGUCAGCUCCCAUUGUGCCAUGUGACAGUUACAGCACGAGGUCCUCGCCACGGCCAGUCAGCGCCCCGCCGCCCCUAUGGGAAGGGCAGCGGGCACUGGGCCAAAGGUCUCGGAACUUUGCACUCCACCGGCACUGAGCUGGGUGGCACCUGGCUUCCUGCGGCUACUGCCCAUCUUUCUGGGCCUAGCCAGGGACCUGCCAAGGGAUACUCCAGGUGUUGGGGGCAGGGCGGCUUCAAGGCCCUAAACCAGGAGAGGGACCAGGAACAAAAGACGCAGAAGGGUUUGCUGGGGUUUUCCUUUUUAUGAGAUUUUUUUCUUUGUUUUUGUUUAAUAUGAAAAUUACUUGAAAAGACAAGGGACCAACCCCGCCAGGCAGCUUGGCCGCUGCUGGCCGCACCAAUCCUAACAUUCCAGGUGUAAGUUACAGAGCUCAAGUUCAUCUACAAAAAAAGUAAUAAAAAUAAAAUUUAAAAUGGCACCUUCAACAGAACACAACGAAACCUCAGAGCCCACCCCGGGUGAGAAGGCCUGCAGCACAGGGGCCCAGGGCAUUCCUCAUCUCUGCUCCAGCCAGAAAGUAAACACAAAGCUAAAAGA